UGCACGCUGAAAAAAAUAUGCGCUACUCACGCGCCGCUUACGCUUGCAGUGUGAAACAGGCCUAACUCUGUGCCACCGCAUCACUAGAUGUGUUAAAAAUAAUGAGAAUAUAUAUACAUAUAUAUCCGAGUCCUGAUCGGGAGGUAACGUCCGAUUCCGAUCGAGUCUGAAACCACAUGAUCGGGCCCGAUUUCCGAUCACGUGAUCGGAUCUGGACAUCCCUAAUGUUAACAACAUCUGCAUUGUGUGACUAUAUUUAAUGUGUAUUAGGGCUACCUGUAGAUUUCCAUUUCUGUGCAGUCUGAUCUCUAAUUGUCAAACCAACAAAUUAAUGUUCCUUAGAGCUGUUUCUUGUGUAAUCACACGUAUCUGUAAUCAGAUGCAUAUUUAAAACUGGAAUAUAAUCUAAUUUCAGUCACAUACAUGUGUUUCAUUAUCAUCAUGCACCAUUCAAGACUCUUUUCUUUUGCAGGACACAAGCUUUGACACAGAGAUAUCUGAUAAUGAUGUGGGCAGUGAAAGAGGCAGAGGAAGAUGGAGAGGCAGAGGCCUGGUUUCAGAAGAUGAUGCAAGGAGAGCUGCAGACCUGUCACAGCAGAGGUUAACAGACAUACAGUGAAUGACCUAGGCUUCAGUCAACGGGGAGAGAUCCUUCAAGAGGUUUUAAUACAGCAUCCUGCAAUAAUGUUUUAGAAUGUGCUACACAAGCAACAACCAUUCCUUCAGCAUCAUCACUACACUGGUGUACCUGGAACAACUGCAGAGAGAUGCCCACAGACAUGGAAAGAAAAUGUUGUGGCCAGCGACCAGAGAGGUGUAUAAGCAGGACAGGUACCUUUGAAGUUUUGAGGUUGGUCAGGGACACACGUAAUGAUAUUCUUGCCUUGGAAGACUCUGCUGAACCAGGCACAGAUAAUCAAGAGUCUCGAUAUGCUGCAUACAGGCAGUAUGUAGUUUGGCAGUAUGGUGCGUUAGGUGGGGGCCAUAGAGUGGUCAUACCAAGUUGUUGUGUUUGGUGUAUUAGAGAGAAAUAUCCAAUACUCAGGAUUUAUACUAAAUAGGCUGUAGCACAGUUUUUUUUUAGAUACAUUUCUUUUGACCUCAAUAUUAAUACAUAAUAAUGUUGCACAAUAAUAAAAUAUUCAAAUUUGCAUUUCUACUUUAAAAAUUCAAUGCACCACCUCAUUUUACAUAGUAAUGCAAGAUAUAUAUUUUAUUCUAAAUUUUGUUACUGUAUUAGGGUAUACUGUUUUGGUGCAAUAUCAUUUGUUAUGAGUGUCAUUUUGUGCAGUUUAAUUCUUUAAAUUCUGUCCCAUUCUUUGUAUGUAAACAAGUUAUUAGAAUACUAAAAGAAUUGGGUUUUUUUUGUAUUUAAUAUUCUCUGUGUUACAGGAUUACAACUAUAGUGUCUAAUGUAUACUUGUUUACAUGUUUCAAGAGGCUACAAUAAAGAAAUGCAGAAAUCUUGAGCUCCUUAUCAAAUCUUUUUAUUAAACUGACCAAAUCAGACUGAU
Megalobrama amblycephala (Wuchang bream) is the source of this 1514-nucleotide long non-coding RNA. RefSeq lists it as uncharacterized. The transcript has 3 exons. The record is from RefSeq and is a predicted model, not a curated record. Lineage: Eukaryota; Metazoa; Chordata; Actinopteri; Cypriniformes; Xenocyprididae.